GUUUAUCUUCAGGGCAGGGUGUAAAUCCCGACCGGCGGUAAUAGUCCGCGACCUCUAGUAAUAGAGUUGAACUGGUGUAACUCCAGUACCGACAGUAUAGUCUGGAUGGAAGAAGAUAGGG
RNAcentral lists this non-coding RNA (121 nucleotides) under Ligilactobacillus ceti. RNAcentral describes it as "Lactobacillus ceti FMN sequence". It matches the Rfam family "FMN riboswitch aptamer (RFN element)". Rfam says of the family: The RFN element is a highly conserved domain that is found frequently in the 5'-untranslated regions of prokaryotic mRNAs that encode for flavin mononucleotide (FMN) biosynthesis and transport proteins. This element is a metabolite-dependent riboswitch that directly binds FMN in the absence of proteins. In Bacillus subtilis, the riboswitch most likely controls gene expression by causing premature transcription termination within the 5' untranslated region of the ribDEAHT operon and precluding access to the ribosome-binding site of ypaA mRNA. The record is from RNAcentral. Lineage: Bacteria; Bacillati; Bacillota; Bacilli; Lactobacillales; Lactobacillaceae. RNAcentral also lists the same sequence under 1 other name.